AUGACCUCCACCAUGGCCUGGGCCCCUCUCCUCCUCACCCUCCUGGCUCACUGCACAGGUUCCUGGGCCCAGCCUGUGCUGACUCAGCCGUCCUCAGUGUCGGGGGCCCCGGGCCAGAGGGUCACCAUCUCCUGCACUGGAAGCAGCUCCAACAUUGGGGGUAAUACUGUGCACUGGUACCAACAGGUCCCAGGAAAGGCCCCCAAAUUUCUCAUUUAUGGUAACAGUAGACCCUCAGGGGUCCCUGACCGAUUCUCUGGCUCCAAGUCUGGCAACUCUGCCUCCCUGACCAUCACGGGGCUGCAGGCUGAGGACGAGGCCGAUUAUUUCUGUGGGUCCUAUGACAGCAGUAUCAGCGGUGCCACAGUGCUGCAGGCCCGUGGGGAACUGAGACAAAAACCCCUCUGCUCUGUGAGGGCCUCCAUUGGUUGUCAGCGAAAAUUGCCUGCAUUUGUGGCCCAGGGUGAGAGCCCCAUUGUCAUUUUGACCAUUGGAAGCUGGGGUCUCUGCUCCCUCACUGUGCCCCCAGGCUGGUCACCCCGUGACCUGAAGCUGCGGGUCUGCUGCUGA
This is a non-coding RNA of Eptesicus fuscus (big brown bat), 570 nucleotides long. NCBI's taxonomy places the organism in Eukaryota, Metazoa, Chordata, Mammalia, Chiroptera, Vespertilionidae. The record is from the annotation of a RefSeq genome assembly.